Molecule: long non-coding RNA, 3643 nt
Organism: Vidua chalybeata
Lineage: Eukaryota; Metazoa; Chordata; Aves; Passeriformes; Viduidae
Exons: 2
Source: RefSeq, a predicted model, not a curated record
CAAGCCCUGGUUGACCAAUUUGCAAUUAAAUAUAUGUGUAUAGGGGUCUAUAAUCUUGCAAAACAGGUAACCCAACAAUGUUUAACCUGUCAAAGAAUAAAUAAACAACAAUUAAGAGAAAUACCAAUGGGCAGAAGGGAACUGGUACAACGACCCUUUUCACAUAUACAAAUAGAUUUUACAGAAUUACCAAAAGUGGGGAGGUAUAAAUAUUUAUUGGUACUGGUAGACCACUUAACCCAUUACGUGGAAGCUUAUCCUACGGCCCGAGCUACUUCGAACACUGUGGUAAAAGUAUUAUUAGAGCAAAUUAUCCCCCGGUAUGGAUUAAUUGAGUGUUUAGACUCAGACCGGGGACCCCAUUUCACCUCUAAAAUUGCAAAAGAUGUCCUGACAGAUUUGGGAACUCAAUGGAAAUAUCACACCCCAUAGCAUCCACAGAGCUCGGGAGGGUGGAAAGGAUGAAUGGAGAAAAAAAAAAAAAACAAAAAAAACAAAAAAAAAAAAAAAACCAAAACAAAAAAAAAACACACACAAAAAAAAAAAAAAAAAAAAAAAAAAAAAACCUCACAAAGUUAAUGCUGGAAACAAAAAUGUCAUGGGUUAAGUGUCUACCUCUUGCCUUAUUGAACAUUCGAACUCAACCCCAAACUAAUGUGGGAAUCUCUCCAUUUGAAAUGUUAUUUAGAAUGCCCAAAGAUCACCCCUGCCUAAAAGAUUCUCAUAUUAAAUUUUACAUCACCCAAAUUAUGAGCAGAAGGCAGGAAUUGAGGAAGAAAGAAGUGUUGGCACAGAGACCACCAAUCCAUAAGAUAAAACCAGGAGAUCAAGUAUCACAGAAACGGCAGUCAAGACGGCCGAAAAGGGGUGGACUCACGCCAGCCGAGUGAAAGGCCCGGUUGCCACAAAUAACCAGUGGAGAGUGACUAGCCAGCCUGGGAACUUGAAAGUGACUCUUAAGAAAAACUAAUGAACUCUGUGGACAUCAUCCAAAUCAACCAUAAGGGGAAGCAAAGGGAUACAAUUACAAACUAGCUAAAGACUAUAUAGUGAUUUGUAACAAGGAAGGUUGUGGAGAUUGUUAUCCUUUUGUGUGCUUUAUAUGUAAAAUUUGCCAAGAACGGUGGUGGGUCCAUUGCCAGAGGGGAAGACCACCAAUUGGGGUUUGUACUGAGUGCUAUAAAACUCAGCGAAAACUAACUGAAACUGUGCUAAGGAUAGGAGAAUUGGAAAAUCGGUGGGUCAGUUUUGGAUCUGAGUGGUGGGAAAUAUUUACCAAGGGAGUAUAGCCUGAGUAUUUUUGUUUUCAUACUAACGAGCCCACUCCAUUUGCUGCUCAGAUAAUAAAAGGGUGUUGUCGAAAGGAACUGAAGGGGAUUCCUUGCAACCCACUUCUGGUCAAAGAUAAGAACUGGGAACAGUACAAGGCUAGGCAGGAGCGGAAAAGGGGACGCUCAGGCGAGUACUGCUGCUGCCGAGAAGAUGGUUUACCUCGCGGCUCGAAGCACCCGAGUCGGCGAGCGAGGCAGAGAGGAAAAGGCCAAGCCCCCUCUAAGUGGAACAAUGCUGAAAUGCUCCAACUAUUGCCAGCCGAGUACUAGGAUCCCUCAAAGGACCAGUCUAAGUGCCUCCGAAACACCAAGGGAGCAGCAAGCCAAAAAGGGGAAAACAGGAUAUUACAAAACAAAAUCAAGGCUAGGACUCCACCCUUAUUGGCGAAUUAUUAGUUUUCUAUUGCUCUGUCCUAGUGGUGUUUCUAGUCAGGACAAUGCUAAACACUUUACUUCUAGCCUACGAAACAGCAAAGCGAUUUGAUGAACGAAAUGGUAAAAGAGAAAAUGGGGGAUUGUGAUAAACUGUGGUAACUUGUUUGUUCAUCAAAGGAAUUGGAAUAUUAAAGGAGGAAAAAUAAAAUUAAAGUAUGAGGGACUAGCUUGCUUGUUAGGAGAUAGGGGAAGCAUCUGUGAAGUUGGGAAACAGCAACUUGUGGGUUUUACUAAAAAAAGGACAAUAAAGAAGCAACUGCUACAAACCGCAAGGCUAUAGGCAUAUUGCAAGGCUAUAGACAUAUUGCAAAACGCAAGACCGCAAGUAUGAUUAAUCACCAUUUAGGGAGCUUUUCUUAGCUUCUCUUGCAGACACAGGCUAAGGAUGUUGGGGGAUGGCCGGAGCUGAUUAUGAAAUCAGCGACCACCAGGCAACGGCCACCGGACUAGACAACGUAGGAGUGCUCCGGGUACGCCCAUCACUGUCCGGAACCGAUUGUGAAACCAACGAUCACCUGCCUCGACACAACGCAGACACGAUGCAGAGGGAUGCUCAAGCUACGCCCACCGCUAUCGCAAGAGACGCGAAUGAAGAAACCUCCAAGAAACUAUAAAAGAGACUGAAUAAGGGGGGUGGGGUGUGGGGCACUGCAGUGUGGGACACUGCAGGAGGGGCGGUUAGGAGACCCCUACCCACCCAGCGCUGUUUUGCUUGCUACUGCUUGCUGUAAUUAAUAAAAUUCUAAUUGACCUUAAAAAGGCUGAAUCAAAUUAUUCGCCUCAAUUUAUCACAGGGAGAAGGCUAAAGGGAGGGGAAAUAUAACAUUAACCAGUGGGGAAAAGGGAAAGGAGUGUUCUUGGUGGAAGAACCAAAGGGAAAACGUGGAACAGAGAAGAUUCUAGGCUAAGGGGCAGACUUGAACAAUAACUGACAAGACAGGGGGAGGGUACAAUUCUCUUACAAAAGGGGGUGGAGAACUCAUACAACUGCUGUUUCCCAUGGCAACCCUAGACUGCCUUCCCCAACCCCUCCUCCUACACCAGUGACAGCUUUUCACACUGAAGGGCAGUGCUAUUGUAUAACAAACACUUAACUCUUAGCCCAGCCGGGCUCGCUGGCUACUUUUGCAAGCUUUUUACCAACUAGCGAUGCUUGUAAGCGGUGCUUGUAACUCCUAGCUUGUACCACGCUCCCACUAGCUGCGCUAUCAGCUAGCGGCGUUCAAAGCAGCUCCUCAAACCGCGGCUUGUGCCCGCGCGCCCGCUGCGCUAUCAGCUGGGCUGCGCCUAAAGCACCUUUGCAAGCCCCGACUUAAGCCCCGCGCCGCGCUCCCCUCGCUCGCCAGGGACAGCCCGUGCCACGCAUGCGCACCACCCGCUCUAUCAGGUAGAGUGCGCACUACCCGCACUAUCAGGUAGUGUGGCUGAGAGCUGCCCUGCGCAUGCGCCCCACCCGCUCUAUCAGGUAGAGUGGCUGCUAGCCGCCCCGAGCAUGCGCACUACCCGCACUAGCAGGUAGUGUGGGCUGAGAGCUGCCCUGCGCAUGCGCUCUCUAGCACUGCCGCGCCGCGUCUCUCUAUCUUAGCAACGCCGCACCGCGCAUCACCGUUCCACUCACACAUACACACACACGCACAAGCACGCACGUCCGGACGUAACAGACACACUACACUGCAAUCGGGACACACACCACACACUGAAAUCGCGAUUUCGCCCUCCCCGAGCCGCGCUAUCAGCUGGGGAGGUCCUCCCGCCGCCGGCCUCUCCCCCGAUGGCGGUCUGCUUGCAAGCCCCUAGGCAAACCUGCGCGCAAAAACAUCUUUUUGCGACUUAUCAGUGCCAACCUUAAGAAAAUAAAUUAAUACAUACCGCUUUCA